This 29849-nucleotide long non-coding RNA is filed under the name Hordeum vulgare. RNAcentral's name for it is "long non-coding RNA (HVUL_LNC001525)". The record is from RNAcentral. Lineage: Eukaryota; Viridiplantae; Streptophyta; Magnoliopsida; Poales; Poaceae.
AACACACAUAAACUAUUUAUUCGUUCUUACACACUGAUGCGAGUAGGUGGUAGGUAAAUAUACACAACACUUUCCACACACGCACAAACAAGGUAGUAGUACACGACACGCACACACAUGACUGAUCACGGCUCAGCGGCACUUAUUUAUGGCUAACUCAGUAGCUAGCUCGACUACUGGUGCAUCAGUUCACGACUAGUGGCGCGUCGACGCGAUCAGGCGGUCGAGCCGCAUGAAGCGCAGUUGCAGGCCGCGCCGCAGGAGCAGUUGGACCGCCUAUUCUCCCGCCCGGACGGCGUCCCCUCGCGCCCGCACGCGCACGGGUUGCACCCACAGUGCUCGCCGCACGCGCACGUGGUGUGCUCCGCGCCGCUCCUCGCCGAGGUGCACCUGCAGCCCGUGCCGCCGGGGCACGGCACGGCGCACCCGCACUUGUCGUCGCAGCCCAUCUCGAUCUUCUCAGGCGUUGCCUUGCACGUAGCUCUUUUCUCAGUUCACGACUAUGGCCACACUCGAUGCCAGAGCACGGAGCUGUAAGGGGUGCGCCGCGUGCGUGACUAUAUGAAGGGCGGGCUUAAGCGGUGGCACGUCUUUCGGGCGUCCGAACUGCCGGCGUGUGGCAGGCCACAGCGGGCGAAGUCCACGUGGGGUACACGGCAGGACUUAGGGAUGAUGUGGUGGCACGUACGCGCGGCCGCCACGGCAGGAGACGUGUACAGUACAACAAUGUCCAAGGCACGGGCAUGUAUAUCCGGUAGAUGGAGCAGCGCAUUUAUAUUGUGAACGUAAAAGUGAUUGAGAGAAUGAACUUUUAAUUUCACUGAUUGAAUUUUAGGGCACACACACAUUGAUGAGUUCUUUCUUUGGAAAUAAUACUUGUAUUACUCAACACUCAAAGAUUAUAAUCACGACUGACAAUGCCCAGGAGUUCAUCCAGAUCCGAACCAAGCCACACAAUAAUUCGGCAUUGUGAUCGUCCAAAACUGGAGUUAAUACAUGUUUUAGUACAUAAAACUUGUGAUGGUGGGAACAAUUCCAUAAAAAACUAAAAAAAAAUACCUAAAUAUAAGUCUUUUAAGAUAUAUCAUUAGAUGUCUACAUACAAAGCAAAUGAAUGAAUCUAUACUUUAAAAUAUGUCUAUAUACAUCCGUAUGUAGUCCAUUAGUUGAACCUCUAGAAAGACUUAUAUUUAAAAACAGAGGGAGUAGUACAUGAAGCCUACUGAUGUAACAAAUACAUACAAAUCGUUUACAGCGUGACAUUUGGCAAGCCACGUCGGAUGAAGGCACGUCCAGGGCGUUUUGUUAUGUUUUAGAAAGCCUCCUCAAGAUACAAAAAAUUGUAACGUGUCGUAUAACCGAAAUCCUUUGAUGGCCUACUGGUACACUAAUUGUUGCUGUACACUACUGGUCUUGGGUUUGAUUCCCAGCACCCUAGUUUUCGUUGUCAAUAUUUUUUGUCAUGUUAAGCAGAAGCAAAAUUCAGUCAUGUUACACCAGAAGCAGAAUUCAGUCUUUUUGAUAGCAAAAGAAAAAUCUGUCAGCAAACAAAAUAGAUGUUAAUAUUGGACAGGUGCAGAAAAACCGAUGUAGAAGCUUAUGUUUGCACUGAAUUUGACAGGAAACAAAAUAGAUGUUAAAACUUAGAGAUAAUACAUGUUUUAGUACACAAACUUGUGGUGAUGGAACAGUUUCAUACAAAAACUUAAAAAAACCCAAAAAAUAGUACAUGAAGUCUACUAAUGUAACAAAUGCAUAAAAUUCUGACUGAACCAGUCCGCGUGGAGUGCCACGUUAACAACCUGGCGGGCCGGAGCUGCAUUUAUGCAAAAAAAAGCUCGGACUUAUCGUAAAAUUCAGUAUUCCGUCCUUACUCGUGCAUGCUGAAUAGAGUUUCAGAAAAGCACCCUCCACUCGCGCAUCCGACGCCCACGUAACCCCUCCCCAAACCCUUCCCUUGUCUCCUCCUUGAGGCCUCGUUUGGUUAAGGGGGAUUGGUAGGAGAGGUUUGCUUAGCCCAAUCCCCUCCGUUCCCCUUCAAUCCCUUCCUAUCCAUGUGUUUCAAAACCCUCCUCAGAGGACUAGUGGAAGCAAAGCCCCGGGGAUUUGAGAGGAUUGGGUGGAACAAAGGGAUUCACCCAAUCUCCUGAAAUCCCUCCCUUUCAAAACCUCACCAAUCCCCCUUAACCAAACGAGGCCUGACGGCGACCGCAAUCGUAGGACUGGGGUGGCGGCGCCCGCGAUCGAUGGAGCCGCGGCUUCAGGAACCAGGGGAUUUCCCUCCCAAGUAUGGUAUGUACCAAAUCCAUUCUUGUGUACCGCAAUUGAGGCCUGGGUUUGGUUAGGUUUAGGUGGCCCAGAUGAUCAAUCCAUGUUCGUCAUAUUUUGUGCCAAAAGGUAGGUGUUUCCUGUGAGGAUUGGUAUGAGUUUUCUGUGAAGAACUGAUAGUAGACUUGAUUUUUGGGGGUCGAGGCUAGGUUCUGUAGUUGAUCUCCUCCUCUUGUAGUUUGUCUGCUGCUGUUGUAGUUCUUCUACUGCUAUUGGUAAGGAUUAAAGAGGUGAUUUUAGCAUUCAGAAUCCGUUGAAGAUACUCAUGUCGAUAGGAAUACAUGCAUCUGUACUGUUGUUUGUAGCGUUGUAAUGUUGUCCAUGUGUUAAGUCCAUGUCUGCUGAUGAAAACUUCAGUUUUUAACUUCAUAUGUCUACUGCAAUUUCAGUUCAAAACUGUGUGUACUACAAUUUCAGUUCUAGAUUAAGAGAGUGGGCAGAACACUGAACUUAAGAUCAGUGCAAAAUGAAGUGUGUACUGCAAUUUCAGUUUACAAGAGUGGAUUUUCAUUUAUGAAAGUGUGCAUUUUUCACAGAGAGUGCAUUUUUAACAAGUGUUCAUUUCUAUUGCAUUUUUCAGUUACUAAUAUGUUCACGUGCACAUAUCUUUAGAUACAAAUAUGUUAGUACAUUUACUGCCAUAUCUCUUUUCAUUUAGAGUUAUCUUCACUGCACAUGUCCAUUUUCACUUAUAUAUUUCUCCAAUUAUAGUUUUAUUCACUGCAUAUGUCCAUUUACAUGUUGAAUUGUCUACAUAAGUAAUUUAGUUGCUGAGUUUUGAAAUGUUCCACUUUCUGCAGUGACAAAUGGAGAAGAUAGUCAGUUGUUUUCAGUUGAAUUUGAGCACAAUGGGAUAUUUAUAGGGCAGGGUACAACUACAAACAGAUGAUAUACAAACAUUGAAUGUACAGAUGAUACUUUCGACUAUUGCCAUGUUGAUACAUGGUCAUUGGGCAUUGUGAAGUACUAUUUGUCCAUGCUAGAUUAUGAUCCCACUGAUCCAUUGGUGAAAGUGUAUUGGGUUUUGCCAGGGAAAGAUAUUGUGGAUGGCCUUGUUUGUGUGGACACUGAGGAAACAGUUGCUGCUAUGGUCACUGCAAGCAAAGAAGCUAAAACAUUGGAUGUAAUAGUGGAUGAGGAAAAAAAAGGACUUUGUAUGGUGAUCAUCUUAUACUCAAUAGAUGUCCAUCACUAUAUAUGGCAGUAGAAGUUGAAGCUCAAAUAGAUGAAGAAGAAGAAAUAGAAGGUCCUUCAAUUCUUCAGGCAUGUCACUGAAUUUUGCAACAUAUACACUUUUGCAAGUUACCAAAUUCUGCAACAUAGAUUGGCGGGGAUAUAGCCCUAGGAUAGGGUCAUAGGUCUGACCAAUACGUCCUAACCAAGGGCACCUCAUUAUUAGUUUAAGGACUACAAGGAAAAUUCCUACUGGAUCGUGACAACAUCUAAUCCACUCGGAUGACAGUCAACCACUCGGCUGUAUGACUCACUCGGUCAUGCGAAUACCAACAGUCGGCAAGGCAUCUGUAGUGGGCUGACAUUAUGGCAUCAAUGCCCCAUCUUGUAACAUAAGAGGUGAGGAGGUGGCGCACUCUAUAUAAGCCACUCCCCUCCACAUAGCUAGAGGCUAGGCUUCUUCUCCCCAUGUGGGCUCAUUCCUUCCCUGGAGCUCUGGCUCUCUCUAUACCAUGUAACUCAUGUCCAUGACAGAUAAAACAAAGCCUCUCCGGAGCACGAGACGUAGGGUNNNNNNNNNNNNNNNNNNNNNNNNNNNNNNNNNNNNNNNNNNNNNNNNNNNNNNNNNNNNNNNNNNNNNNNNNNNNNNNNNNNNNNNNNNNNNNNNNNNNNNNNNNNNNNNNNNNNNNNNNNNNNNNNNNNNNNNNNNNNNNNNNNNNNNNNNNNNNNNNNNNNNNNNNNNNNNNNNNNNNNNNNNNNNNNNNNNNNNNNNNNNNNNNNNNNNNNNNNNNNNNNNNNNNNNNNNNNNNNNNNGAGCACGAGACGUAGGGUUGUUAUCUCCACUGUGAGAGGCCUGAACUCGCUAAAACCACCGUGUCACCCAUGUGCAUCUUGAUAGAUCAUGCUCCGUUAUCCUACCCUCUUUCUAUUGUCGGAAUCAUUACCACGACAUUUGGCGCCGACCGUGGGGCUAUGGCGUCUAUCGAGCCAUGAUGCAUAUGGUUAUUUCUUCAAUCACCGGCGUCGUCCGCCUCAUGGUCGUCAUGCGUUGCCACUGGUGUCGUCCAUCCUGUCGCCGUCAUCGACCUCGGCACAACCGACUGCACCUCGUAUGCGACGUCGUCGUUAAGCACUUAAGCGUGGCUACCGGCAACGGUCGCCUUAUCGUCGUGAUGUGCGGCCGCCGGCGCCGUCUGCCUCGUCGUCGUCUCCAACCACGUUGAGCCCAAACGCCGCCACCGUUCACCUCGUCGUCGACACGAGCCUUGUGUUCUCGGCCACUCGAGGGCGACCUACGCGAUGGAAGUGCGGGCUCCGUGCGGUGCGGGCGCGCAAUGCUUCUUCCUUCAACGCCGGCCACCGGCGAGGUCUCUGUGACCGAGGCGCACAGCAACGGCGACCUACGAAUCAGCCUCGACUUGCAAGGCUGCAACUGAUGGCCAUCCAAUGCUUCGUAAGUGCGUGCGUUACGUGGGCCCGCUCCUUGAUUAGAUUAACUGCAUGCAGGAAAAACGGAAACAGAAGAACGUGGUCUUCAUAGUCCUUCAUGGGAUGGGCUGACGGUUUGCAUAAGGUAAUGGCCUCAUUAACCGGCUCAUCAGGUGAGGAUUGAUGACCUCGGUUUCCUAAUUAGUGCGGCCAAAACAUCUGCCACACUGUUUCCAUCAACGGCCAAUCGUGCAUGCAUGCAUGCAUAUUCAUUUGUGGUUUUUAUUCAUUGCAAAUUAGCAACUAUACAGGACACUUAGUCCAUCAAAAAAUAUUCGUAGCUAUGGUUACUACUAACUUGCAGAUCACUCGUCCGUUGUCGUCUGCGGACAACGGUUUACUCGGACGGGCAUUUCAUUCGAACUACUAAUACGAUGACGCGUAGAUGAAAUUUAUGUACACACGAGCAACAUGCAGCGAGUCGGCUGCCCCGCGUGUUGCCACUCUGCAGAACGCGUCUACAUUAAUCGGCCGCCGCACGCAUCGCCACUCCGCAGGAUGCGUCUUCAUCAUUCGGCCGUCCCGCAUGUCGCCACUCCGUGUGGCACGUCUUCAUCAUUCGGCCGCCCCGCGCGUCGCCAUACAAUCAGACACGACGGAAUCAAUCGGCUGCCCCGGGCGUCAUCACUCAAUCGGACGCGUCGUCAUCACUCGGCUACUUUACGGGCCGUCACUCAGUCGGACGCGUCGUCAUCAAUCGGUCGCCCCGCGCGCCGUCCCUCAGUCGGACACGUCGUCAACACUCGACCACCCCGUGCGCCGUCGCUCAGUCGAACGGGUCGUCAACACUGGGCCGCCCCGUGCGCCGCCCCUCAGUCGGACGCGUCGUCAUCACUCCGCCGCCCCGCGCGCCGUCCCUCAGUCGGAUACGUCGUCAACACUGGGCCGCCCCGUGCGCCGCCCCUCAGUCAGACACGUCGUCAUCACUCGGCCGCCCUGCAUGCCAUGCUCAGUCAGACGUGUCGUCAGCACUCGACUGCUUCACGCGUCGUUAGCCAGCUAAGUCAUUCUUCACACUGUGCAUUCAGUUAAAUAAUUAUUUAUGCAUUAACGAGUGUCAAGUAAGUCGCGUAUGACGUUCACUCGGAGGUCACGCCAUCGAGUGUACCUCUGCACUCGGUUGUUUAUUUUUAUGUGGGAACACUUCACUUCCGCUUCGUUUGGGUCCAGUACUCAAACGAGUUCAGCCGUAUCCUUCACUCUUUUAGACUCUUGCUGGUUCUAAACCAGCAAUCACGUGGCACAUCCACUGGGUGUGUGCAAUUUACACGAACUAUUUCAAAAAAUAUCAUAUUACUUUGAUAAUUUUUUAAGCUGGCUUGUGCUAUUUUUCAUACACAGGUUACUUGACGCAUCCGUGCGCCAUCCUCGUCGCUGCUCAGGCUCAGUCGCCGCAACGAUCAUUCAUGCGUUUUCACGUGUUCGGAAGCCCCCGCAAUGACGUAGUGGACACGGCUGCCCCGCGUGCCGUUACUGGGUCGGACGCCUCCUCGGCAUACAUCACUUGGCCGCCCCGCGCGUUGCCACUCAGCCAGAAUCGUCUACCUCUCCCGGAUGCCAUGCGCAUCGCCACUCCGUGUGGCACGUCUUCAUCAUUCGGCUGCCCCGCGCGACAUCGCUCCACACUCGGGGGCUUAGAUGCGACUCCAUAUCGCCUAAGUAAAAACAACUCCGAGUANGUAUCGCCUAAGUAAAAAACAACUCUGAGUGCGGACAUGCUCCACACUCGGGGGCUUAGCUGCGACUCCGUAUCGCCUAAGUUAAAACUACUCCGAGUGCGGACAUGCUCCACACUCGGGGGCUUAGCUGCGACUCCGUAUCGCCUAUGUUAAAAACAACUCUGAGUGCGGACACACUCCGCACUCGGGGGCUUCACUGCGACUCGGUAUCGCCUAAGUAAAAAACUACUCCGUGUACAGACACGCUCCACACUCGGGAACUUAGCUGCGACCCCGUAUCGCCUAAGUUAAAAAAUACACUGAGAGACUUGACUUUGAUCCAGAAAUCAUAUAAUGCAGAUUCAACAAACAUUCAACAUGACAAGCACUGGAAGUCUUAAACCCUCUGCCAGACUCAUCUAGUCCGAUAGAGGCUCGGGGACUACACCCAAUGGGUGCACUGAGCGUGCCCCCACAGGAAGAGAAAUACAAAAAAAACAUUCUGCUUGGUCAGGUCCAGCAACAACAUUCAAGUUCAACAGAUUCAACAGACUCCAACCGACUACCAACAAUCAGUUAGAGUCUCAAGAUCAUGUUGGUCACUCGGAUCUACUUCAAUUCUCAAGUUCACUUGGACAUACUACUCAGCAGAAUUGAUCAGGGCGAAUGAUGGAUACUUCAAUCGACGUGCAGUUCUGUAAGGCUCUGAAGCACGUUCAAGUUCGGUCUGCGGCUACAAGAUUUACAUCAACACCUUCACCACUCGGACCCUGAUCCAUUCGGGGGAUAAUGACGGGGAUAUAGCCCUAGGGUAGGGUCAUAGGUCUGACCAAUACGUCCUACCCAAGGGCACCUCAUUAUUAGUUUAAGGACUACUAGGGAAAUUCCUACUGGAUCGUGACAACAUCUAAUCCACUCGAAUGACAGUCAACCACUCGGCUGUAUGACUCAGUCGGUCAUGCAAAUACCAACAGUCGGCAAGGCAUCUGUAGUGGGCUGACAUUAUGGCAUCAAUGCCCCAUCUUGUAACAUAAGAGGUGAGGAGAUGGCGCACUCUAUAUAAGCCACUCCCCUCCACAUAGCUAGAGGCUAGGCUUCUUCUCCCCCUGCGGGCUCAUUCCUUCCAUGGAGCUCUGGCUCUCUCUAUACCAUGUAACUCAUGUCCAUGAUAGAUAAAACAAAGCCUCUCUAGAGCACGAGACGUAGGGUUGUUAUCUCCACUGUGAGAGGCCUGAACUCGCUAAAACCACCGUGUCACCCAUGUGCAUCUUGAUAGAUCAUGCUCCGUUAUCCUACCCUCUUUCUAUUGUCGGAAUCGUUACCACGACAUAGAAAAUUUUUCAAGCUAUCCAACUUAACUAUGCAUGUAUUGUCUUUGCAGGACAUAAUGUCGGCAAGACUAAUUCCCAGGUUGGAACCAUUGAAUGUUAGAACUAGCAUGGUAUACAUGAUGGGCCAAGAGGUAAAAUUUAGAAAGCAAGCACUUAUUUUGUUUAGUAUUACAAAACUAUAUUUAUUUCUCACUUGUAAUAAUCCAGUUAAUUCUUUUGCUUACUAUAAUCUAGUACUAUACCAUGAUUUACCCCUUGCACUUGCACUUUAUAUGAUAGAGCAUAUGUGAGCCAAGUGGCAUCACGAGGACCAUUGCCAGAGCAAGCAACUUUUGUGCUUGAUGCUAUGGAAUCAAUUCCUCGAAGGACAAGAAUGACCACGACAACCAACAGAGGAAGGGUCAGAGCCAAAAGAAAAUUAAGAACUACAAGUGAGCAAACACAUUCAAAUGAGCCUGGUUUGAGUGCACAAGCAGGAAGACAAAACAAAAGAAAAACAACAACAAGCGGUGCCGCAAGUGGAGUUGGGACAGGAGCUGGUAGAGGGGGAACAAGAGUAAAAGGUGUAGGGAGAGGAGCUGGCAGAGGAGGAACAAGAGCAAGAGGAGCUGGGAGAGGAGGAACAAGAGCAAGAGGAGCUGGGAGAGGGGCUAGCAACGGAGCUGGCAGAGAAGGAGCUGCCAAUGAAGCUACCAUAGAAGGAGUUGCCAAUGGGACAUGCAUUGGAGAAUCUGACAGUGGAGCGGGCAUAGGAGGAGCUUGGAGUGGAUUUUGGCACAGGAGGAUUUGGAAAUGGAGCAUUUGUGGGAGGAUCUUGGGAUGGAGCACGCAUAGGAGGAGCUUGGGAUGGAGCAUGCAUAGGAGGAGCUUGGACUGGAUCUCGCACUGACCCAUCUCAAUGUCCAUUGUAUUGACUUAUGUUUGGAGAUGAUGGAGCUGCACACAUGAUCCCAGACCAUAAUGCCAGGGAUGAAAUGCCAGUUUCACAAAAUGCACCUCCACGAGAUCAGUGCUAGAGUGCUUGAAGUUCUUAAAUUAACGUCAAGCUACUUUGUAGAAGUUCAUGUCAGAACUUUAUGUUUUGAAGUGCUCAUUUUGUAAUGGUGCGGCCACUUUUCUUUUUGUAAUGAUGCAUCUACUUAAGUGUUGUGUGCAAUCUGUUGUGAUCAAAAUUUAGUAAAUCCUUGAUCAGUUCUGCAAUCUGAUGCGAUCAUAUUCAGCACUUAAGUGUUGUCUUAUCGAAUUUUUUUAUGACCAUUUCCGUCAAAUUCAGACUUCUCUGAAUUCAGUACAACUUGUUCUAGGGAAGCAUGUUUUUGCCAAAUUUAGUGCGCUUGACUAAAUUUCAGAGCUAAUUACACCCAUUAUACAACAACUUUCUCAAAAUUAACAGAUUCAUACACAAACUUGAAAAUUCCAUAAAACUCAUACACGAACUUGUUUGUUGUAAUACUUCAUACAAAACAGCCUGAAUUGGUGCACGUGGCAUGCCACGUCGGAAUGUGGCACGCCCAGGCUCUGUUCGUUUUACUAAUAAAAACAUGAAAGGUGGAUUGUUAGCACGUAUGAAAAUAUUUCGAGGAUCCCCAUAUUAUCACGGACUCGUCAAACUGCCUCCCUAACCCUCCCAUAACCCCUGCCUUUUUGUCCCCCUCAGUCUCUCCUCGAGCUCUUUGGGACGAUCGAUAGUGCGUCAGUUUGAACCCUCGGAGGCGAGGGAAGCGGUAUGUGUCCGGUCAUACGGGCCACGCCCGAUUUCCUGCCGGCAUAUGGUAUGUGUCGAUUCCCCCUUUCCCCACCCCUUGUUGCGGCGUUUAUUUCCCAUGUUUCGAUAGGUUUUGAUGGUAACGACGAUCAUCUAUUUUGGCACAUAGAUUCAAUGAUUCAGGUCGUUUUGAAGGGAGGGAUUGAGGGAUUGGUGAUCAUAUGGGUAGACCAACACGUCAACACAUCCACUGGUUCUUGUGGACAUUCCGAUGGGGAAUUUAGGGCAGUGUGAAGAAUGCAUGAUUGUAGGGCGAAGUAGAUUGAUAUUGGACAGUGCAAUGCAUGGCCGUCAUAUGAACACUACUGAUGUAGUAUUCCUAGACUAUGGUGGCAGCCUUGCUAUGGAUUAUGGUGCCAUCGAAACGUCUUCGUGAGGGAUCCUCUUUAGAUUCGAUAGUAGACUUCAAUGAUGAGAUGCAAACUAUGGAUUACUGAUGUUUGGAAGAGGUAAAAGAGAAGAGGAACCAAUUUACAACCCGAUGUUUGGAAAUGAUGGUGCUACAAGAAGAAUUGCACAUACCCCUGACCUUAAUGCAGACCUGAAUGCUGAAGACAUCCCACCAUCUUAGCACGCACCACAUAUGCAAUAGCAGAAAUAGCUUUGUGUACUAGUUCAUCUAUAAACUAUUGCUCUGCUCCGGUAGUUCAUGAAUGAACUAUAGAUGUUAUGCCCUAUUGAAGUUAAUUGCAUUCAAUCUGAAUAUGUAUGCCCCUUUUGAUAUACUGAACUUGUUAGUUGCACUAAACUUUUAUAUACUGAAGAAAUCCCACUAUGCUCUUUUGAUGUUAUCUUAUGUCAUGUCUUGUACUGAAAUAAAUUUGAAUUCUCUCUCUUCAUCAUAAAAAAAAUUGGUUACAAAUCUGUAAGCAUAUUAUGUACGAUUAUGGUCCCAAAAAAUAUUUGGUAAAAACAUUUUACUUGGGGCUCAAACCUUGACCCAAUGUUAUAAUCCUCCUGUUAGUGAACCAUUGGACUAUGAGAGGAUACAUAUCCGGGGAACGUUGCAUGGGAAACAAAAAAAAUACCUACGCACACGCAAGACCUAUCCAUGGUGAUGAUCAUCUAUGAGAGGGGAUAUCGGAUCCACAUACCCUUGUAGAACACUAAGAGUGAAGCGUUAAGAAACAUGGUUGAUGUAGUCAAACGUCUUCGCGGUCCGAAUCGCAAGCAUCCCACGAAGUCCACCCCGAUCUAGCGCCGAACGGACGGCACCUCCGCAUUCAGCACACGUGCAGCUCGAUGACGAUCUCCGCCUUCUUGAUCCAGCAAGAGAGACGAAGAGGUGGCUGAAUUCUUUGGCAGCACGAUGGCGUGGCGGUGAUGGUGGUGGAGUUACUCCGGCAGGGAUUCGUCGUACCGUACCGAAUUAGCUACGGGGUGUCACGGAGUAGUGGAGGGAGAGAGGGCUGCGCUAUGGCUUGAGGUGCUAAAAGCCUCCCUCACCUCCACUAUAUAUAGGAGGAAGGGGAGGGGUGGGACCCUAGGGAAAAACCCUAGGGUUCGGCCGGUGCAAGAGGAGGAGGAGAAGUCCUCCUUCAAUACAACAUGGAAGGAGGAGUCAUCCUUCCCCCAUUCGGUUUCUCCCACCCUCCUUUCCUUUUCUCCCUUGGCCGAAAUAGGCCUCUUUGGUGGCCACCAGCCCACUAGGGGCUGGUGCGCCACCCUUGAGCCUCUUUGGUUCUCUCCCGGGUGGGUUGCCCAUCCCGGUGGAACUCCGGAACCCAUUCGUCACUCCCGGUACUUUACCGGUAAUGCCCGAAAACCUUCCGAAAGCCAAAUGCAUACUUCCUAUAUGUUAUUCUUCGUCUCCCGACCAUUCCGCAAACCCUCAUGACAUCCGGGAUCUCAUUCAGGACUCCGAACAACAUUCAGUUACCAACAUCAAUAAUUCAACUAUACCGAAACGUCACUGAACCUUAAGUGUGCAGGCCCUGCAGGUUCGAGAACUAUGUAGACAUGACCGAGACACUCUUUGGUCAAUAUCCAAUAGUGGGACCUGGAUACCCAUAUUGGAUCCUACAUAUUCUACGAAGAUCUUUAUCGGUUGACUCUAUGUCAAGGAUUCAGCUAACCCCAUAUAACAUUCCCUUUGUCCUUCGNNNNNNNNNNNNNNNNNNNNNNNNNNNNNNNNNNNNNNNNNNNNNNNNNNNNNNNNNNNNNNNNNNNNNNNNNNNNNNNNNNNNNNNNNNNNNNNNNNNNNNNNNNNNNNNNNNNNNNNNNNNNNNNNNNNNNNNNNNNNNNNNNNNNNNNNNNNNNNNNNNNNNNNNNNNNNNNNNNNNNNNNNNNNNNNNNNNNNNNNNNNNNNNNNNNNNNNNNNNNNNNNNNNNNNNNNNNNNNNNNNNNNNNNNNNNNNNNNNNNNNNNNNNNNNNNNNNNNNNNNNNNNNNNNNNNNNNNNNNNNNNNNNNNNNNNNNNNNNNNNNNNNNNNNNNNNNNNNNNNNNNNNNNNNNNNNNNNNNCUUCGGUAUGUUACUUGCGCGAGAUUGGAUCGUCGGUAUCUCCAUACCUAUUUCAAUCUCGUUAUCGGCAAGUCUAUUUACUCGUUCCGUAAUACUAGAUCUCUUGACUAACUCCUUAGUCACAUUGCUUGCAAGGCUUGUUGUGAUGUUGUAUUACCGAGUCGGCCCCGAGAUACCUAUUCGUCAUAUGGAGUGACAAAUCCCAGUCUUGAUCCAUGCUAACUCAACGGACACCUUCGGAAAUACGUGUAGAGCACCUUUAUAGUCAUCCAGUUACGUUGCGACGUUUGAUACACACAAGGUGUUCCUCCGGUGUCAGUGAGUUACAUGAUCUCAUGGUCAUAUGAAUGUUUACUUGACAUGCAGAAAACAGUAGCAAUAAAAUAACACGAUCACAUGCUAUGUUCAUAAUUUCGGUCUUGUCCAUCACAUAAUUCUUCUAAUGAUGUGAUCCCGUUAUCAAAUGAAAACACUUGUCUAUGGCUAGGAAACCUUAACCAUCUUUGAUCAACGAACUAGUCAACUAGAGGCUUACUAGGGACAGUGUUUUGUCUAUGUAUCCACACAGUUAUUUGUGUUUCCAUUCAAUACAAUUUUCGAAUGGAUAAUAAACGAUUAUCUUGAAAUAGGAAAUAUAAUAAUAACUAUUUUAUUAUUGCCUCUAGGGCAUAUUUCCAACAUACAUCACAUAUGGCACUUCGUUUGUUUUUGUCACAUUGAGGGGAUGACGACAGAGUGAGGAGUGGGCCCUUCUUGUAUUGUGGGCUGGAACGUGUGCUUUUUGCGGGAAAACGUGUUUUGUUAUUUAUGUGUAAGACAGGGGAGUUUGUGGAAAAAUCCACCCCUUUGCGACAUGGCAGCCGAUGUGUCAUACGCGGGGCUGUUUUGUAGUCAACUAUUAUGAAUUUUGAGUUUGCUAACCACAUCUCCCAUGUGGUUGUAGUCAAGUGUUACUGGAAAUAAGUUUGUAUGUGAUAUUUGUGUUGUUUUCAAGUUUGUGUAUGAAUCUGUUAAUUUCGAGCAAGUUUUUGUAUCAUGGGUGUAGUUAACUCUUAUUAAAAAGGCAUAUUUAGAUCUAUUAUCAUCUUUCACUUGAAUCAUCUUCACUACCUGUCCGAUUCAACAUCAAUAGAUAGAUUGCUCCAUUGCAAAGCGAGUAAAAGGCCCUAUUGAAUGCCCAAAAUUUUAGUUUCAAGCAUGCCAUUAUAAGAAACAGGAUAUAUGCAUGAGCUGAAUAUGAUGCUACCACUUUGGUCCCUAAGGAUCAUACGUGUUCCUGCAACACCAUUCAAAACACACCCAUCUGUGUUGAGAUUCACUCGUCCAGCCACUGGUGGAGACCAAGGACUGUGUUCUUGACGCCUCCUAUCACAUGUGGGUGUCGCCAAAGGGAAACAAACUUGAGUUAGGAACUUCCCUUUUGUGUGGUCAACAUUUGGAUUUGUUGUAAUGCAGUUCAGCAAGGGAAUGUAGCUAGAUAGAAAGUGACAUGAAACAUCAAUCGGAGGUGCGGGUUUGUGGUGGAAUAACUCAUUCGAACGUGCCAGAUCCGCCAAAGAAGCAUCAUGAACCGAAGCCGGAUAGAUUCAGCCAAAUCAGAGAUAGCUUGAACAAACCAUUCUUUGCCCGUGGGAAGGAUAUUGGUGACCUCUGGGAGAUCCCAUUCAGUGGACAUUGCUUUCCAUAAGCGUUUUGCAUUGACGCAAGAGCAAAAAGUAUGGAACGAAUCUUCCUCUUCAUAGGAGCAAAUCGGACACAAUGCACUAAUCUCCGGAUUACGUUUCUGUUUAUUUUUCCAAGUAGCAAGGGUGUCUAUAGCUAGUCUCCAAACAAAAUUUAUUACCUUUGGUGGAGCCGGACUAGACCAAAUGCACUUCUAGCCAUCACGACCGUCGUCUGCGUCCCGCUAGACAUUGCAACAGGGCUAUUGUGUACCUCAUCAGAAGCAAGUAUGUAAGCGCUUCGUACUUUAAAGACUCCUGAUUUUUCUGGUGCACAGGCCAGGAAGUCCUCACCAAAACGCGGUCAUGGUCGAAUUUUCAGAAUUUCAACUAUGUCCACGGGCAGAAAAAAAUUGAUGUAGUUUUGUGAGGUCCCAAGCUCCAUUGUGAUCCAAGAGCUCGGACACCCACUUUAGUCUACACCGUCCUUUAUGGGAAAUGAGGCUCCCCGUUGGCUGUCGCACCAUGCAUCUGUCUCGCCAAAUACGCACAUUCUGGCCAUUAGCAAUCCUCCAUACAAGCCCUUUCUUCAGUCGGUCUAACCCAUAGCUGACGGCCUGCCAUGUUGGAGAGGGGUUUCCAGUAAAAAUUGUGUCCUCAAAUCUGCCACUUGGAUAGUAUUUAGCCUUCAAUAAUCUAGCGCAUAAACUAUUUGGGAAUGCAAUAUAUCUCCAUGCUUGCCUCACAAUUAGCGUUCGGUUAAACAGACAAAAGUCUCUAUAACUUCUGUGGGUUUGUGCCAACACCACAAGUUCGAAUGAGAUGAAACAAUAUUGAUUGCAAAAAAUUUGAAUAAAAAGGAACACACCAUCAAAAUCAUAAUAGGGUUGUCAUCGUUUCUAAAAUUUAAAAAACUCUAGAAGUUCAAAUUUAAAUAACAAACUGUCCAGAUUAUUACAAAACUAGGAUAUUUCGAUGCUAAAAGAAAUAAACCAAGAAGUCCAAAUUACAAAAAUAGAGAAGUUUGAUAUUUAUAAAAAACUUCGAUUUUCCUUGUUACUAAAGAAUAAAAACGACGAAGUUCAAAUUAAAAUAGAGGAGUGGUUCGAUGUAUACAAGCAACCCAAAUUAUUACCGUUUCUAGGGGGAGUUCGAUUUAAAAAAAUGAUGCUUAUUUAUAAAAAUAUUUUCUUUCUAAGAAAAGACUAAGAAGUUCAAAUUAAAAUAACACAGAAGUUCGAAGUUUAUGAAAAACUCAAAUUUGUUCAAAGAAGUUCAUGUGCAACUCCGUGCAUGGUUCAUAAUUUAUAUUGUGGGACGUCUGACUUCCAAUUACAUGUUUUAAAAUGGCAAAAUAUGACGCCCGACCUUCAGUUACGUGUUAUUCGAUGUAUACACAAAAACGUGACAGAAGUUCAUAGCGAAAACAACAAGAAGUUCAAGUACUAAAGGAAUGCAUUUGAGGUGAGAAUAAAAGAAUAGAAAAUUAGAAGAUUAAAAUGUUUGUUGCUAGAAGUUCAAGUGCAUGUCGCGGGGUAGUUCAAAAAUUCUUGCAAGAGAGGUUCACCUUGUAUUAUCAUGUUCAAAAAUACAAAAAAGAAAUUGUUGUUUCUGUUUUAAAAUAAUUCUCUCAAUCCACAAAGAAGUUCAACUAUUAUUUGGGAGCAAGUCAGUUUCAAAAAGAAAAUCAAAAAAGCAAAUUAUAAAAACGGAGUACUAGAUGGAGUAUGUUUAAUAUGAGAAAAAUGAAUAAAAAGGCAAGUUCAAUUGUUUUGUUGCUAGAAGUUCAAGUCCUCGGUUGGAGAAAGUUAAAAAAUUAUUGUUAGAGAGGUUUGUUCAAAAAGGAAUAUCAUUUGUGUAACACCGACGAAUGGGUGAGAAAAUACAAACGAAAAUACAUGACACAAAGUCAACGUGAAAACAGUGGGAAGGUUAACUACUACACUGCAUGAAUGUCAUAUGAAAAUAUUUUAAACCGUUGUGAGUAUGGAAAAAGCAUCAACACGGAAAAGUUGUGUGUUUACAACAAAUUUCCUUCUCUAUAUCAUUUGCUCAAUUCCGGUGAGUGGAUGAAGAGCUACGAGUAAAAACAACACGUGGAAAACGAAGUAAACUAUGAGUAGACAAGUCGAGAAGUUCAAGUUCUUCAUGUGGUGCAUUUUUGAAGAGUGUGUUUCGCGCUAUAGGCAGGACGCAUAAUCUCGCUGUUUUCAAGAUUACUUGAAAAAUGACUUGGAAUCAUAGAAAAUUAUCUACAUGAAUAGGUUUUGCAUUUUCUGUAACUUUUCAACGGCAUACUAUUUUCCCCAUUCCGAUAAAGUUUGUAAAAACUAUGGACCAAAAACGUUUUCAGCCAUUUUUAAAAUUGACUUAAAACUGUAAAGAAUUAGAGGAAACAAUCUACAUAGAAAAGUUUUGCAUUACUUCAAGCUUUCCGACACCAUAUCCUUUGUUCCAUUCCGACAAACCAUUGAGAAAUUAAUGCGAAAAGACGAACUCGGUACAACAUCUACCGUUUUCUAAAUUACUUUUAAAUUGUUAAUAGUUAGAAGAAACAUUUUAUAUGAAAAGAUGCGCAUUUUCAUAAGUUUUCCAACGCCAUAUCAUUUGCGUCGAUUGGACUAUCUGUUUUCAAAUUAACCCUGAAAUACUAAUCCGGCUGUUCAGUUACAGAAAUUCCGCUAUUUUCAAAUUCCUCUUUAACCAUAGAGUAUUUGGAAAGACUUUCAACAUAUGAAAUGAGCGGAUUUGCAGCAGCUAUCCAACGACGUCUCAUUUCCUCAUUCUGAUAAACAUUUUAUAAAUAGGCUCGAAAAUAUGAUUCACUUUUUUGUAUGAAGAAAAAUGGUUUUCAAAACUGCUCUUAAAUGAUGUACACUUUGACAAAAAUUCAACCUAGGUUGUUACUAGGGUGUCCAUAGCUUUCCAACGGUAUACCGCAAGCCCCAUUUGGACGAUAUUAGCAGAAGUUCUACCUAGCACUCGGGAAAGGUCAACUGCUACACUCCAUGAAUGUCACAUGAAAAUCUUUUAAACCGUCGCGAGUGUAAAAAAUGAUCAACACGGAAAAGUUGUGUGCUUACAACAGCUUUCAUCGGUAUAUCAUUUUCUCGAUUGCGGUGAGUGGAUGAAGAAUUACUAGCAAAAAUACCACGUGAAAAACAGAGUGAAGUUCAUGAAAACAAGCCGACAAGUUCAAGUUCUUCACGAAGUGCAUUUUCGAAGAAUCUGUUUCGCACUAUAGGCAGAUCGCAUGAUCUCGUUUUUUUAGAUUGCUUGAAAAAGUCUAGUAAUCCGAGAAAACUAUCUACGUGAAAAAGUUUCGCACUUUCCAUAGCUUUCCAACGGUAUAUUAUUUGCCCCAUUUCGAUAAAGUUUAUGAAAAUUGCAGCCAAAAACCGUUUUUAACCAUUUUCAAAAUUGACUUAAAACCAUAACGAAUUAGAAAAAAACAAUCUACAUAUAAAAGUUUUGAAAAUACGAUUCACGUUUUUUUGUAUGAAGAAAACUGAUUUUCAAAACUGCUCUUAAACCUUGUAAAUUUUGAGAAAAAUUCAGCCUAGGUUGUUACGAGGGUGUCCAUAGUUUUCAAACGGUAUAUCGUAAUCCCCAUUUGACCACUUUUAGCGGAAGUUCAACCUAGCACCCGGAGAAGUUCACGUGCUACUAUUGGGACGAGUCAGCCCGUGAUUAGAAUAGUUAUUCUCAUCCCAGUAUGAGAAUAGUGUUUGUAAAUGACACGCAUCGUCAAUGAUUCCUUUUCUAAUUGACAUGCACGCAAGAAUAUCCAUCUUUAGGAUAUCUUCAACCAUUUCAAACUUUCUUAUUUAGUACGUCUCAUUUUUAUUCCUGGCUCAUCAGAUUUUUUAGUAUGUUUGGGGAACGUUGCAUGGGAAACAAAAAAUUUCCUACGCACACGAAGACCUAUCAUGGUGAUGUUCAUCUACGAGGGGAGAUUAGAUCCACAUACCCUUGUAGAUCGCUAAGCGGGAAGCGUUAAAAACCGCGGUUGAUGUAGUGGUACAGCUUCGUGAUUCAAAUCAUCAUCGUCCCACGAUCCAUUCCGAUCUAGCGCCGAAUGGACGGCACCUCCGCGUUCAGCACACGUACAACUCAAUGACGAUCUCGGCCUUCUUGAUCCAGCAAGAGAGGCGGAGAAGUAGAUGAGUUCUCCGGCAGCGUGACAGCGCGCCGAUGGUGGUGAUGGUCUACUCCUGCAGGGCUCCGCCCGAGUUCGGUAGAAAUCUGAUCUAGAGGAAGAACUACAUGGUAUAGGUUUGAGUUGCACAUGGCAAAGUUAUGUCUCGAAAGCCCUAAAACCACCAAUAUAUAUAGGAGGAGGGGAGGGGCUAGCCUUGGGGCUCAAUGGAGCCCCAAGGGCGCCGGCCGAAGGGAGAGGUGGACUCCCACCCCAAUUCGGUUUGGGGGAAGGAGUCCACUCCGUCCUUCCCACCUCCCUCUUUCCUGUUUUUUUUCUUUGGUAUUUUUCCCUUGUGGCGCCAUAGCCCUCUUGGGCUAGCCUCACCAGCCCACUAAGGGCUGGUGCGCCACCCUAGGGUUACUCGGCUCACUCCCGGGUGGGUGGGCCCCUCCCGGUGAAUACCCGGAACCCAUUCGUCACUCCCGGUACACUGCCGGUAAUGCCCGAAAUCUUUCCGGUGACCAAAUGAAACCACCCUAUAUAUCAAUCUUCGUUUCCGGACCAUUCUGGAAACCCUCCUGACGUCUGUGAUCUCAUCUGGGACUCCUAACAACCUUCAGUCACCAACACAUAUAACUCAACUAUACUAAAACAUCAUCGAACCUUAAGUUUGCACACCGUGCGGGUUCGAGAACUAUGUAGACAUGACCCUAGACACUCAUCGGCCAAUAUCCAAUAGCGGGACCUGGAUGUCCAUAUUGGAUCCUACAUAAUCUACCAAGAUCUUAUCGGUUGAAUCUAUGUGCCAAGGAUUCAUAUAAUCCCGUAUAACAUUCGCUUUGUCCUUCGGUAUGUUACUUGCCCGAGAUUUGAUCGUCGGUAUCCUUAUACCUAUUUCAAUCUCGUUAUUGGAAAGUCUCUUUACUCAUUCCGUAAUACAAGAUCAUGUGACUGACACUUGAGUCACAUUGCUUGCAAGGCUUGUAUGUGAUGUUGUAUUACCCAGUGGGCCCCGAGAUACCUCUCUGUCACAUGGAGUGACAAAUCCCAAUCUUGAUCCAUGCUAACUCAAGGGACACCUUCGGAGAUACCCGUAGAGCACCUUUAUAGUCACCCAGUAACGUUGUGAUGUUUCAUACACACAAGGUAUUCCUACGGUGUCAGUGAGUUACAUGAUAUCAUGGUCAUAGGAAUGAAUACUUGACACGCAAAAAACAAUAGCAACAAAAUGACACGAUCACAUGCUACGUUUAUAAUUUGGGUCUUGUCCAUCACAUGAUUCUCCUAAUGAUGUGAUCCAGUUAUCAAGUGACAACACUUGCAUAUGGUCAGAAAACCUUAACCAUCCUUGAUCAACUGGCUAGCCAACUAGAAGCUUGCUAGGGACAUUGUUUUGUCUAUGUAUCCACACAUGUAUCUAUGCUUUCAUUCAAUACAAUUAUAGCAUGGAUAAUAAGCGAUUAUCUUGAAAAAGGAAAUAUAAUAAUAACUAUUUUAUCAUUGCCUCUAGGGCAUAUUUCCAACAGUCUCCCACUUGCACUAGAGUCAAUAAUCUAGUCUCACAUUGCUAUGUGAUUUACAUUGGAAUAAAUCUAACACCCAUACAGUUCUGGUGUUGAUCAUGCUUCCCUCGUGGAAGAGGUUUAGUCAGCGUAUCUGCUAUAUUCACAUCCGUGUGCAUUUUGCAAAUAUUUACGUCCUCUCCUUCGACGUAGUCAUGGAUGAGGUUGAAGCGUCGUUUGAUGUGUCUGGUCUUCUUGUGAAACCUUGCUUCCUUUGCUAAAGCAAUGGCACCAGUGUUGUCACAGAACAGAGUUAUUGGAUUUACUGCGCUCGGCACAACUCCAAGAUCCGUCAUGAACUGCUUCAUCCAGACACCCUCCUUAGCUGCUUCGGAGGCAGCGAUGUACUCCGCUUCACAUGUAGGAUCUACUACGACGCUUUGCUUGGAACUGCACCAGCUUACCACACCCCCAUUAAGAAUAAAUACGUAUCCGGUUUGAGACUUAGAGAUAUCCGGAUCAGUGUCAAAGCUUGCGUCGACGUAACCCUUUACGACAAGCUCUUUGUCACCUCCAUAAACGAGAAACAUUUCCUUAGUCCUUUUCAGGUACUUCAGAAUAUUCUUGACCGCCGUCCAGUGAUCCACUCAUGGAUUACUUUGAAACCUGCCUACCAUACUUAUGGCCAGGCCGACGUCCGGUCUAGUGCACAGCAUUGCAUACAUGAUAGACCCUAUGGCUGAAGCAUAGGGGACGGUACUCAUCUUUUCUCUAUCUUCCACAGUUACUGGACACUGAGUCUUACUCAACUUUAUACCUUGUAAUACUGGCAAGAACCCCUUCUUAGGCUGUUCCAUUUUGAACUUCUUCAAAACUUUAUCAAGGUAUGUGCUUUGUGAAAGUCCUAUCAGACGCCUCGAUCUAUCCCUAUAGAUCUUAAUGCCUAGAAUGUAAGCAGCUUCUCCUAGGUCCUUCAUAGAGAAACACUUGUUUAAGUAAUCUUUUACGCUCUCUAAAAACUCCACAUUGUUUCCAAUCAGCAAUAUGUCAUCCACAUAUAAUAUUAGUAACGCCACAAAGCUCCCACUCACUUUCUUGUAAAUACAAGAUUCUCCAACAACUUGUAUUAACCCAAACGCUUUGAUCACUUCAUCAAUGCGCUUAUUCCAACUCCGAGAUGCUUGCACCAGUCCAUAAAUGGAUCGCUGGAGCUUUCACACUUUCUUAGCAUUCUUUGGAUCGACAAAACCUUUGGGUUGCAUCAUAUACAACUCUUCCUUCAGAAAACCGUUAAGGAACACCGUUUCGACAUCCAUCUACCAGAUUUCAUAAUCGAAAAAUGCAGCUAUUGCUAACAUGAUUCGAACGGACUUAAGCAUCGCUACCGGUGAGAACGUGUCAUCGUAGUCAACUCCUUGAACUUGUGAAAAAAAACCUUUGCCACAAGUUGAGCUUUAUAAACGAUCACAUUACCGUCCGCGUCCGUCUCCUUCUCAAAGAUCCAUUUGUUCUGAAUAGCCUUGCGGCCUUCAGGUAAUACUUCCAAAGUCCACACUUUGGUUUCAUACAUAGAUCCUAUCUCGGACUUCAUGGCCUCCACCAUUUGGUGGAAUCCGGGCCCACCAUUGCUUCUUCAUAAUUCGUAGGUUCAUUGUUGUCUAACAACAUGAUUGAUAAGACAAGAUUACUGUACCACUCAGGAGCAGUACGUGAUCUUGUCGACCUGCGAGGUCCGAUAGGAACUUGAUCCGAAGUUUCAUGAUCAUCAUCAUUAACUUCCUCCUCAACCGGCGUCGCUUCGACAGAGGUUUCCCCUUGCCCUGCGCCACCAUCUAGAGGGAAUAGAGGUUCUACAACCUCAUCAAGUUCUAUCUCCCCCCCCACUCAAUUCUUUCGAGAGAAACUCCUUCUCAAGAAAAUCUCCGUUCUUAGCAACAAACACUUUGCCCCUGGAUCUGAGAUAGAAGGUGUACCCAACUGUCUCCUUUGGGUAACCUAUGAAGACACACCUUUCCCCUUUGGGUUCCAGCUUUUCAGGAUGAAGCUUUUUAACAUAAGCAUCACAUCCCCAAACUUUAAGAAACGACAACUUAGACCUCUUGCCAUACCAUAGCUCAUAUUGUGUCGUCUCAACGGAUUUUGACGGUGCCCUAUUUAAAGUGAAUGCAGUUGUCUCUAAUGCAUAACCCCAAAAUGAUAACGGCAAAUCAGUAAGAGACAUCAUAGAUCGCACCAUAUCUAACAAAGUACGAUUUACGAUGUUCGGACACAUCAUUACGUUGUGAUGUUCCAGGCGGUGUCAACUGUGAAACAAUUCCACAUUGUCUUAAGUGAGAGCCAAACUCGAAACUCAGAUACUCACCCCCACGAUCAGAACGUAGGAACUUGAUCUUCUUGUUACGGUGAUUUUCAACUUCACUCUGAAAUUGCUUGAACUUCUCAAACGUUUUAGACUUGUGCUUCAUCAAGUAGAUAUAUCCAUACCUACUCAAAUCGUCAGUGAAGGUGAGAAAAUAACGAUAUUCACCGCGCGCCUCCACACUCAUCGUACCGCACACAUCGAUAUGUAUGAUUUCCAACAAGUCACUUGCACGCUCCAUUGUUCCGGAGAACGGAGUCUUAGUCAUCUUGCCCAUGAGGCAUGGUUCACACAUGUCAAGUGAUUCAACAUCAAGUGACUCCAAAAGCCCAUCGGAAUGGAGUUUCUUCAUGUGCUUUACACCAAUAUGACCUAAGCGGCAGUGCCACAAAAACGUGGUGCUAUCAUUGUUAACUCUACAUCUUUUGGUCUCAAUGUUAUGUAUAUGUGUAUCAUCACAAUCAAGAUUCAAUAUGAACAAUCCUCUCACAUUGGGUGCAUGACCAUAAAAGAUAUUACUCAUAGAAAUAGAACAACCAUUAUUCUUUGACUUAAAUGAGUAACCGUCUCGCAAUACACAAGAUCCAGAUAUAAUGUUCAUGCUUAACGCACGCACUAAAUAAAAAUUAUUUAAGUUCAUAACUAAUCCUGAUGGUAACUGAAGUGAGACUGUGCCGACGGCGAUUACAUCAACCUUUGAACCAUUUCCCACGCGCAUCCUCACUUCAUCCUUCGCCAGCCUUCGUUUAUUCUACAGUUCCUGCUUCGAGUUGCAAAUAUGAGCAACAGAACCGGUAUCAAAUACCCAGGCACUACUACGAGAGUUGGUUAAGUACACAUCAAUAACAUGUAUAUCACAUAUACUUGAUUUUUCUUUGGCCGCCUUCUUAUCAGCCAAAUACUUGGGGCAGUUGCGCUUUCAGUGACCCAUCCCCUUGCAAUAAUAACACUAUGUUUCCGGCUUAGGUCCAGCCUUGGGUUUCUUCGUCGUAUUGGCAGCAGGUUUUCCGCUCUUCUUGGAGUUACCCUUCUUGCCUUUGCCGUUUCUCUUGAAACCAGUGGUCUUAUUGACCAUCAACACUUGAUGCUCUUUCCGGAGUUCUGACUGUGCGACUUUCAGCAUCGCGAAUAACUCGCCGGGUGACUUGUUCAUCCCUUGCAUGUUAUAGUUCAACACAAAGCUCUUGUAGAUAGGUGGCAGUGAUUAAAGAAUUCUGCCAGUGAUAGCCUCUUGUGGGAGUUCAAUCCCCAGCUCAGCUAGACGGUUUGAGUACCCAGACAUUUUGAGCACUUGUUCAGUGACAGAUGAAUUCUCCUCCAUCUUGCAAGCAUAGAAGUUAUCGAAGGUCUCAUACCUCUCGAUCUGGGCAUUCUUCUGAAGAUAAACUUCAACUCCUGGAACAUCUCAUAUGCUCCAUGACGCUCAAAGCGACGUUGAAGUCCCAGUUCUAAGCCAUACAAGACUGCACAUUGAAGUACCGAGUAGUCCUCCUUACGCGAUUGCCAAGCGUUCAAAACAUCUUGGUCAGACAGAGCGGGUGGUUCAUCUCCUAGCGCAGCAUCAAGGACAUAAUUCUUUUUCCCAGCUUGUAGGAUGAGCCUAAGAUUACGUGCCCAGUCUACAAAGUUGCUUCCAUCAUCUUUCAACUUAGGUCUCCCUAGGAACGUAUUGAAAUUCAGGGUUGCUACUGCGUGAACCAUUGAUCUACAACAUAAAAUAUUGCAAAGUGGACUUUGACUAUGUUCAAGACAAUUAGAGUUUAACUUAUCAAAUUACUAAUAAAAUCCCACUCAAAAAAUACAUCCCUCGUGUCAUUUGAGUGGUGCAUGAUCCAAAUUCACUAACUCAAGUCCGAUCAUCACGUGAGUUGAGUUUAGUUUCAGUGGUAAACAUCUCUAUGCUAAUAAUAUCAACUAUAUGAUUCAUGCUCGGCCUUUCGGUCUCUUGUGUUCCGAGGCCAUGUCUGUACAUGCUACUCUCGUCAAGUUUAACCCGAGUGUUCCGCGUGUGCAACUGUUUUGCACCCAUUGUAUGUGAACAUUGAAUCUAUCACACCCGAUCAUCACGUGGUGUCUCGAAACGACGAAAUGUCGCAACAGUGCACAGCCGGGGAGAACACAAUUUCAUCUUGAAAUUUUAGUGAGCGAUCACUUCAUAAUUCUACCAUCGUUCUAAGCAAUAUAAGGUGCAUAAAAGGAUUAACAUCACAUGCAAUUCAUAAGUGACAUGAUAUGGCCAUGAUCUUGUGCUUCUUGAUCUCCAUCACCAAAGCACUGGCAUGAUCUUCUUGUCACUAGCACCAUGAGGACCCACAAGUGUAGGGGAUCUAUUAUAGUCCUUUCUAUAAGUAAGAGUGUCGAACCCAACGAGGAGCAGAAGGAACAGGCAAGUGGUUUCCAGCAAGGUAUUCCCUGCAGGCACUAAAAUUAUUGGUAACAUAUAGUUGUGUGAUAAGAUAAUUCAUAGCGAGUAGCAAGUAACAAUAAUAACAAAGGUGCAGCAAAGUGUCCCCAUCCCUUUUUUAUCAAGGGAAAAGCCUCGACAAACUCUUAUAGGAGGUAAACCGCUCCCGAGGACACAUAGGAAUUUCUGUCAAGCUAGUUUUCAUCAUGUUCAUAUGAUUCGCGUUCGCUACUUUGAUAGUUUGAUAUGUGGGUGGACCAGUGCUUGGGUGCUACCCUUACUUGGACAAACAUCCCACUUAUGAUUAACCCCUCUCGCAAGCAUCUGCAAUUACGAAAGAAGAAUUAAGACAAAGUCUAACCAUAGCAUUAAACUAGUGGAUCCAAAUCAGCCCCUUACAAAGCAACGCAUAAACUAGGGUUUAAGCUUCUGUCACUCUAGCAACCCAUCAUCUACUUAUUACUUCCAAAUGCCUUCCUCUAGGCCCAAUUAAUGGUGAAGUGUCAUGUAGUCUACGUUCACAUAACACCACUAGAGGAAAAGACAACUUACAUCGCAUCAAAAUAUCGAACGAGUACCAAAUUCACAUGACUACUUAUAGCAAGACUUAUCCCAUGUCCUCAGGAACAAAAGUGACUACUCACAAAGCAUAAUUAUGUUCAUGACCAGAGAGGUAUUGAAUAGCAUCAAGGAUCUGAACAUAUAAUCUUCCCCUGAAUAAUCCAACUAGCAUCAACUACAAAGAGUAAUUAACACUACUAGCAACCUUACAAGUACCAAUCGGAGUCGUGAGACGGAGAUUGGUUACAAGAGAUGAACUAGGGUUCGGAAAUGAGAUGGUGCUGAUGAAGAUGUUGAUGGUCAUGAGUCCCCUCCGACGAGAGGAGUGUUGGUGAUGAUGAUGGCGAUGAUUUCCCGCUCCGGGAGGGAAGUUCCCCCGGCAGGACGACCCUGCCAGAGCUCUAGAUUGGUUCUGCUCAAGUUCCGCCUCGUGGUGGCGGGGAUUCCUCCCGAAAGCCCCCUCCUCAUUUUUUCUGGGACAAAACCCUCCUUAUAGCAAAAGAUGGGAGCCAGAGGGGCAACAGGGGGCCCACAAGCCACCUAAGUGCGGCCAGGGGAUAGGUCGCGCCUGGCAGGCUUGUGGCCUCCUGGUAGCUCCCCUCUUGUACUUCUUCCGCCCUGUAUUUUUUAUAAAAUCCUAAAUAAUUCCACGUUGAUUUUCAUGGCUUUUGGAGUUGCGCAGAAUAGGUAUCUCAAACUUGCUCCCUUUUUAGACCAUAAUUCCAGUUGCCGGCAUUCUCCCUCUUCAUGUAAACCUUAUAAAAUAAGAGAGAAAAGGCAUAAGUAUUGUACGGUGAAGUGUAAUAACAGCCCAUAAAGUGAUAAUUAUCAACAUAAAAGCAUGAUGCAAAAUGGACGUAUCAACUCCCGCAAGCUUAGACCUCGCUUGUCCUCAAGCGGAAGCCGAGAUCAAUAAAUAUGCCCACAUGUUUAGAGAUAGAGGUGUCGAUAAAACAAAAUAGGGACAUGCACGCAUCAUGAUCAUAAUUAGGACAACAAUAGCGUCAUAUAAACUCUUAUGCUAAAGUGACAAUUCUUUCACAAAGUAAAGUAUGGAUCAAGAACCUUAUUGAGAAUUAGCAACCAAUAGCCUUUAGUCCUUGAAGCAAUUGCAAUUUAUCAUAACAUCGAAAAGAGUCAAAUAAGAGCUUGUAAAGAAAAUCCACAUACGCAAUCAUCCUUUCGUCUUCUACAAUUGCUAAAACUCACGUGGUACUCAUGAGAUCAAAGUUUUAGUUGGACACAGAGAAAGAUAGGGGCUCAUAAUUUUGCUUCCCAACUACUUACCUCAAGGGUAAUGUCAACAAUAAUAAUUCAUGGAUACUUACUUCCAAGUUGACAUAUGAAUAUAGAUCUUUCCCUAGCACAUGACGUUAGCCAAGAUAAAGGAGAAAUAAGGAAUUGGUGUCGAUCACCAUGACUCUUUUAAGGAUAAAAAGUAAAGGUACAAGAUAGGCCCUUCACAGAGGGAAGCAGAGGUUGUCAUGCGCUUUUGAGGUUUGUAUGUGUGACCUCUUAGUGUGAAGGAAUGUCACUUUAUAUUGCCUCUUGUGAUAAAGAACUUUAUUAUGCGGUAUGUUGCUUUUAUGUCUUCCUCAUCACAGGUUCGUACAAAGAUUAUUUUCCACACACUAAUAGAUCAUACAUAUUUAGGGAGCAAUUUUUAUUGCUUGCACCGAUGACAACUUACUUGAGGGGUCUUAUUCAAUCCAUAGGUAGGUAGCGUGGACUCUCAAGGCAAAACUGGGUUGAAGGUUUAUGGAUGCACAAGUAGUAUCUCUACUUAGUGUGGAAGUUUUGGCUGAGAUGAGGUGGAAGCAAUCGUGAUGUGCUAAGGGAUCUCUAGUCAUAAAACAUUGUUCGGAACCAAGCAAACAUAGUUCAUUAUGUUGUUUUCCUUGUCCAACAUCUACUUCUAAGCAUGUAAUAGUUUAAUGAGUGUUCACAAUCAUAGACGGUGUCAAAGAUGAUAUAUUUAUAUGUGAACCUCUCUUUCUUUAUUACUUCCUAUUAAUUGCAACAAAGACCAAGUUCUACGUUUGUCCACCCACAACAAGUUUCACUCAACAUUCUUUUUUUAUGUGAAGUCAUCACAUCCCAUAAGAUCAUUACAUGAUCUUUCAUGCUUUUGUUCUUUUAUUAUUCUUCCUUUAGAUCAUGGUAUGAGGCAAGGCCCUUAACUAAAACACUCUUUAUUAUAUGACUCACGAGCUUGAAUACAUUGGGGGUGAAACAAAGCAAAACUCAAGCCUAGAUCACUAAGAACAUUAUUCUACUAGAGAAAUAUAAAACCAAAAAGGAUCGAACUAAGAAAAAGGUAAAGGCAAAAGAUGUGAUGGUGAUACGAUACCAGGGCAACUCCCCCAAGCUUGGCACAAGCCAAGAGGAAUGCCCAUACACGUGCUUAAUUGUCUUCCUUCGGAGGUGAUGGUGGUGGAGUUGUUGCAAUCUGGGGUUGAUCCUCCGUCUUCCAAGGCAUAGGUGCUCCAUCAUGGAAAGAUGAUCGAGUCUCCGAAAUCCUCAAAUCUGCAGCCAACCAUAUUGAUUUAAAUCUAAACUCAUACUCACAGUUUUGGUUCUGCAGGUCGUAGAUCUGGGCUUGGAGGUGAUCAAUUUUGUCAUAGAGCCUGGAGAGGUGCUUCCUGAUAUCAUUGACAUCGAUCUUGUGCUUGUUGGUGAACUCUGUGAUCAUCAUGUGGUUGGCGUCGAGUCCGCGUUCCACCAUCCCUUGGCACUUGAAGACUUGCUGCUCCAUUGCUUCGAGCCUCGCUUCCAUGCUUCCGGUCUUCUUGGGCCCCUCAAUAUCACGGAUGUGCAGCACCCCCUCACGCAUCUCGAUAGAUUGAGGGUGUUUCAGCACUCCCACGAGGUAGGGAUUGAUGACCUUCUCGAAGAACUUGUCCUUCGGAGCUUUUGGGGACGCCAUAGCGAUCUAGAUCUGUCUGCACAACAGCUCGAAAUGAAAACAGAGGAUAUUUGCGUGAUACGAGGGUCAGACCUUUCGGGAGAAUAUAUAAUGAAUUUUUCCCGACCAGAAGGAGUACUCCGCAAGAAAACGGAGUCUGGGAGGCACACGAGGUGCUCACAAGCCCCCCAGGCGCGGCCAGGGGGGUAGGCUGCGCCUGGCAGGCUUGUCGCCUCCUCGUGCGCUUUCCGGACUACUUUAAAUUUUUCUAUUUUUCUAAAAAUACCAAAAUGGAGAAAAAUUUCUACCCGAAAAGUUUUGGAGUUGGUUUACUUACCGAAUCACAUACCUCUUCGUUUUUGGAGUCUGAAACAGGCUGAUAAAUAUCCCUUAUGUACUCCUCUGGAGUUAUGGUAUUAAUAAUAUUGCUUUCAACAUUUAUGGGAGUACCUGAGAUAUAAUGUUUGAUUCUUAGCCCAUUUACCACUCUCGGAAAAUUACCUUCUGUGUUGUUGAUCUUGAUGGCACUGGAACGAUAUACUUCCUCAACAAUGUAAGGACCUUCCCAUUUAGAGAGAAGCUUGCCUGCAAAAAAAUCUUAAACGAGAAUUGUAUAGCAAGACAUAAUCACCUACAUUGAACUCACGUUUUUGUAUCCUUUUAUCAUGCCACCUAUUAACCUUUUCUUUGAACAACUUGGCAUUUUCAUAUGCCUCAGUUCUCCAUUCAUCAAGUGAGCUAAUAUCAAAUAACCUCUUCUCACCAGCAAGUUUGAAAUCAAAGUUGAGCUCUUUGAUUACCCAAUAAGCCUUAUGCUCUAGCUCAAGAGGUAAAUGACAGGCUUUACCGUAAACCAUUUUGUACGGAGACAUGCCCAUGGGAUUCUUAUAAGCAGUUCUAUAAGCCCAGAGUGCAUCAUCAAGCUUCUUAGACCAAUUCUUUCUAGACCUAUUAACAGUCUUUUGCAGAAUUAGUUUAAUCUCUCUAUUACUCAGCUCUACUUGACCACUGGACUCAGGAUGAUAGGGAGAUGCAAUUCUAUGGUUGACAUCAUACUUAGCAAGCGUUUUACGGAAAGAACCAUGAAUAAAAUGUGAACCACCAUCAGUCAGUAAAUAUCUAGGGACUCCAAAUCUAGGGAAAUAACUUCUUUGAGCAUCCUAAUGGAGGCGUUAUGAUCAGCACUACUAGUUGGGAUAGCUUCUACCCACUUAGUAACGUAAUCAACAACAACCAGGAUAUGAGUAUACCCGUUAGACUUUUGAAAAGGUCUCAUAUAAUCAAAACCCCAAACAUCAAAUGGUUCAAUGACGAGUGAAUAAUUCAUAGGCAUCUCCUGACGUUUACUGAUAUUACCUAUUCUUUGACAUUCAUCACAAGACAAGACAAACUUAAGGACAUCCUUGAAGAGAGUAGGCCAAUAGAAACCAGAUUGCAUGACCUUGUGUGCAGUUCUAUCUCCCGCAUGGUGUCCUUCGUAAGCCUCAGAGUGACACUUCUGUAGGAUCUGUCCCUGUUCAUGCUCAGGUACACAAUGUCUAAUAACUCCAUCUACUCCUUCCUUAUAAAGGUGAGGAUCAUCCCAAAAGUAAUGUCUCAAAUCAAAGAAGAAUUUCUUCUUUUGUUGGUAUGUGAAACUAGGUGGUAUAUAUUUGGCAACAAUAUAAUUUGCAUAAUCAGCAUACCAAGGUGUACUACGUGAAGCAUUGAUGACAUACAAUUGCUCAUGAGGAAAGCUAUCAUCAAUAGGUUGUGGGUCAUCAAGGACAUUCUCCAACCUAGACAAGUUAUCUGCUACGGGGUUCUCAGCACCCUUCCUAUCAACAACAUGCAAAUCAAAUUCUUGUAGCAAGAGAACCCACCUGAUAAGUCUAGGUUUAGCAUCUUUCUUUUCCAUGAGAUACUUAAUAGCAGCAUGAUCAGUGUGAAUAGUAACCUUGGAAUCAACAAUAUAUGAUCUGAACUUUUCACAUGCAAACACGACUGCUAAAAAUUCCUUUUCAGUAGUAGCAUAGUUUCUUUGGACGCUGUCUAGAGUUUUACUAGCAUAAUGAAUAACAUUCAACUUCUUAUCAACUCUUUGUCCUAGAACAGCACCAACAGCAUAAUCACU